RNAcentral lists this ribosomal RNA (281 nucleotides) under Diversispora epigaea. The record is from RNAcentral. Lineage: Eukaryota; Fungi; Glomeromycota; Glomeromycetes; Diversisporales; Diversisporaceae.
CAGUCGCAUCCUUCAGAAAUCAACCCGACUUAGGUCUCGUGCACUUUCUGUUUGGAUGGGUCAGCAUCAAUUUUGACCGUUGGACAAAGGCCUUGGGAAGGUGGCAUCCUUUUGGGUGUGUUAUAGACCAUGGUUCGUAAUACAGCGGUUGAGAUUGUGGAACGCAGUGCGACAUUUUAUAUGUUUGGGGCUUACGGGCUCACAUUCACGCACUUGGGAUGCUGGCAAAAUGGCUUCAAUCGACCCGUCUUGAAACACGGACCAAGGAGUCUAACAUAUAU